CCUACGGGAGUCUGCAGUGGGGGAUAUUGCACAAUGGGGGGAACCCUGAUGCAGCGACGCCGCGUGGGUGAAGAAGCGCCUCGGCGCGUAAAGCCCUGUCAGCAGGGAAGAAAAUGACGGUACCUGAAGAAGAAGCCCCGGCUAACUACGUGCCAGCAGCCGCGGUAAUACGUAGGGGGCAAGCGUUAUCCGGAUUUACUGGGUGUAAAGGGGGCGCAGACGGCGAUGCAAGCCAGGAGUGAAAGCCCGGGGCCCAACCCCGGGGAUGGUCUUGGAACCGCGUGGAGGGAGUGCAGGAGGGGCAGGCGGAAGUGCUGGGGUAGCGGUGAAAUGCGUAGAUAUCAGGAGGAACAGCGGUGGGGAAGGCGGCCUGCUGGACUGCAACUGACGUUGAGGCCCGAAAGCGUGGGGAGCAAACAGGAUUAGAUACCCUAGUAGUC
RNAcentral lists this ribosomal RNA (440 nucleotides) under uncultured bacterium. RNAcentral's name for it is "partial 16S ribosomal RNA". It matches the Rfam family "Bacterial small subunit ribosomal RNA", at positions 338 to 795 of the family's 1533-position model. The record is from RNAcentral.